Molecule: unclassified non-coding RNA, 294 nt
Filed under: uncultured Actinomycetes bacterium
Lineage: Bacteria; Bacillati; Actinomycetota; Actinomycetes
Description: uncultured actinobacterium contains 16S-23S intergenic spacer region
Source: RNAcentral
UCCGAGUUGUCCCCUGGGGGCCAAUCGUCGAUUAGCCAUGCAGCACCUGUGCUGGCCCCUUACGGACACGGGCUUUCACCCGCUUUAACCAGCAUGUCAAGCCCAGGUAAGGUUCUUCGCGUUGCAUCGAAUUGAGCCACAUGCUCCGCCGCUUGUGCGGGCCCCCGUCAAUUCCUUUGAGUUUUAGCCUUGCGGCCGUACUCCCCAGGCGGGAUGCUUAAUGCGUUAGCUUCGGCACAGAGGGGGUUGAAGACCCCCCCACACCUAGCAUCCAACGUUUACGGCUGGGACUAC